GAUAAACGCUGGCGGCGUGCAUGAGACAUGCAAGUCGAACGGACGAUCGAGGCUUGCUUCGAUCGUUAGUGGCGGACGGCUGAGUAACGCGUAGGUGACCUGCCCCGAAGUGGGGAAUAACUGCCCGAAAGGGUGGCUAAUACCGCAUGUGGUGGUGUGUUCAAUCACACCAGUAAAGCCGCAAGGCGCUUCGGGAGGGGCCUGCGUCCGAUUAGCUCGUUGGUGGGGUAACGGCUCACCAAGGCGACGAUCAGUAGGUGGUCUGAGAGGACGAUCACCCAGACUGGGACUGGGACACGGCCCAGACUCCUACGGGAGGCAGCAGUCGGGAAUUUUGCGCAAUGGACGAAAGUCUGACGCAGCAACGCCGCGUGAGGGAUGACGGCCUGG
This 390-nucleotide ribosomal RNA is filed under the name uncultured bacterium. Its description in RNAcentral is "bacterial SSU rRNA". It matches the Rfam family "Bacterial small subunit ribosomal RNA", at positions 28 to 419 of the family's 1533-position model. The record is from RNAcentral.